RNAcentral lists this ribosomal RNA (322 nucleotides) under Candidatus Poribacteria bacterium. RNAcentral's name for it is "bacterial SSU rRNA". It matches the Rfam family "Bacterial small subunit ribosomal RNA", at positions 1 to 315 of the family's 1533-position model. Lineage: Bacteria; Candidatus Poribacteria. The record is from RNAcentral.
UUUUGGAGAGUAUGAUACCGGCUCAGGACGAACGCUGGCGGCGUGGAUUAGGCAUGCAAGUCGAACGAGAAUUGUAACUUCGGUUAUAAAGAGAGUGGCGAAAGGGUGAGUAACGCGUAGGUAAUUUGCCCUUGAGACUGGAAUAACAUCCCGAAAGGGUUGCUAAUACCGGAUAAUAUCUAUUAACCCACGGGUUUUUAGAUCAAAUGGAAGCUCUGCUUUCACUCAAGGAGAAACCUGCGUCCUAUUAGCUUGUUGGUGGGGUAAUGGCCUACCAAGGCGAUGAUGGGUAGCUGGUCUGAGAGGAUGGUCAGCCACAUUG